Molecule: ribosomal RNA, 464 nt
Filed under: uncultured bacterium
Lineage: Bacteria
Description: partial 16S ribosomal RNA
Rfam family: Bacterial small subunit ribosomal RNA
Source: RNAcentral
CCUACGGGCGACAGCAGUAGGGAAUUUUCGUCAAUGGGCGCAAGCCUGAACGAGCAAUGCCGCGUGAACGAGGAAGGUCUUCGGAUCGUAAAGUUCUGUUGAAGGGGAAAAAGAGCGGAGAGAGGAAAUGCUUUCUGAUUGAUAUUACCCUUCGAGGAAGUCACGGCUAACUACGUGCCAGCAGCCGCGGUAAUACGUAGGUGGCGAGCGUUAUCCGGAAUGAUUGGGCGUAAAGGGUGCGUAGGCGGCCUGCUAAGUCUGGAGUGAAAGGUACCGGCUCAACCGGUACAGGCUCUGGAAACUGGCGGGCUAGAGAGCAGGAGAGGGCGGUGGAACUCCAUGUGUAGCGGUAAAAUGCGUAGAUAUAUGGAAGAACACCAGUGGCGAAGGCAGCAUACCGGUGCACAACUGACGCUCAGGCACGAAAGCGUGGGUAUCGAACAGGAUUAGAUACCCGGGUAGUC